GGGGAGGAAGGAAGGUGCUGGAAAGUGUUAUGAGGGGGAGUGCUGCCAGCCUCAACAGCACUAAAGGGUGUGGCUGCUGAGAAGGGGAGGAAGGAAGGUGCUGGAAAGUGUUAUGAGGGGGAGUGCUGCCAGCCUCAACAGCACUAAAGGGUGUGGCUGCUGAGAAGGGGAGGAAGGAAGGUGCUGGAAAGUGUUAUGAGGGGGAGUGCUGCCAGCCUCAACAGCACUAAAGGGUGUGGCUGCUGAGAAGGGAAGGAAGGAAGGUGCUGGGAGGUGUUAUGAGGGGGAGUGCUGCCAGCCUCAACAGCACUAAAGGGUGUGGCUGCUGAGAAGGGAAGGAAGGAAGGUGCUGGGAGGUGUUAUGAGGGGGAGUGCUGCCAGCCUCAACAGCACUAAAGGGUGUGGCUGCUGAGAAGGGAAGGAAGGAAGGUGCUGGGAGGUGUUAUG
Eriocheir sinensis (Chinese mitten crab) is the source of this 447-nucleotide long non-coding RNA. RefSeq lists it as uncharacterized. The record is from RefSeq and is a predicted model, not a curated record. Lineage: Eukaryota; Metazoa; Arthropoda; Malacostraca; Decapoda; Varunidae. The transcript is spliced from 3 exons.